RNA transcript from Cydia pomonella (codling moth), 2893 nucleotides. RefSeq lists it as uncharacterized. The record is from RefSeq and is a predicted model, not a curated record. Lineage: Eukaryota; Metazoa; Arthropoda; Insecta; Lepidoptera; Tortricidae. The transcript is spliced from 3 exons.
UCGGUUGUAAUAUGAAUUGAUGUAACCGCCAAAAUGUCGAAAAUGAGUUAUAUAUGUAGUUCGACUGCAAAUUUCAAUCCGGAUCGAUUGGUGUUGUUAAAAUGUUGAUAUCUUAAAAAAAAAUGUCGAGUACGUUAACCGCAACUUAACCGUUUUUUUCAAUUCACAUGACUUUUUUUAAGUUAUGGGCCGUUUUUGUAAAAUCUCAUGUUAUUUGGUUAACGUAAAGAUCAAAUUGUAAUUGCGCAUUAAUGUACUGAGCAACGUUGAAAAAAUAUCAUUGAUGUAAGUCUCAUUUAUUACAAAAUGACUCUUACCUUACUCAAUGAUUUUCCACAAUAUUACUUAUUGUCGGUUACGCUAAUAGUAAUGUCUACAAAAGUAUAGAAUGGCUUUUAAAUCAACACAAUAUUGCCUCGGUUUUUUAUGAAUACACCUGAAAAUAUUAACCUGAAUCACAUUGGAUUUCGUCUAUUUAACCAAUUGUAAGUUAUCUUUAAUAUAAAAGUAAGAAAAGUUAGCACAUUGUUGUCAAAAAUUUACUUAUUGCAAAUUAAAGCUAUUUAAAUAAAAAUAUUGUUUCUUACACUAAAUUUCACGUAUGUAUUGUAAUAUUUAUGUCGCUUACAUUAUCAUUUCUGUGCUCAAGCCACAAGUUUUGGCGCUUACAUUACAUUUGCUUGACGGUUUAGGACGAAUCGGGUGUUUACAUUAAGACGCUCGUUAAUAGUUUCUAGGCUAUCUCUUUUCUUUUCACUUGUUAUGCGUUAGCUAAGAGCGAGACAAUCAUACAUUUCAUGGUAAGCAACAAGUAUCACCGUAUGCGUUUGUUUAUGAUUUGUUAUUGUGAUCAAUGGUCGGUUUGUUCUAGCAACUCGUGAUAAAGACAUGUGUGUUGUGAUUUAUUAAUGCUAAAAUAAAAAUGAAUAAGUUAAGUGCAUUAAUAUCGCGUAAAGAACAGUUACUAAAACAGCGUGAAGCCUUGCAAAGGAGACAACAGAUAGAUUUCAAAGAUGGCAGUAAUAGUGAUAUUGUCGAGGAGAGCGACACUGAGAUGUUCCCAAAAAUUUCCACAAGCAGCAUACGCAGCCAACAUAAUGUCACAGUAUGUAGUACUGACGAUGAGCCCAGCAACGAUUCAAUAAAUACGUCGACUAUUUGCUUGCCUUAAGACCAUUCAUUUUUUCGGCCAUAUAGUGGUGAUGAGCUCAAUCAUGCUUCUACUAACAACAUUAACCCCAACGCUUCACCAACAACUCCUUUGCAAGAAGAUAAGGAAAAUAGCAUCUCGGAAUUUUUUCAAGGCAGUGAUAGUUCCACUAAAAAUAUGGACCUAACAUCUAAACAAUCAUUUGUUGAGGCCGAUGCUGAAAACAGUUUGGACAUUUUCCAGAAUUUGUCUUCAGAAUAUCAUGAUAGUAACAUGAAUGAGAUUAACAAUCACAAGAUUACAAAUGAUUUGAUUACUAACUUGCCCAAUAAUCAUCAGUUACAACUUCCUAUUAUUCAUGAAGAGUCUGCCAAAAAUCACACUAAUGAUCCGACUUCUUGCACGAUAAAUAAUGUAAAAUUUUACACAGAAAACACUACACAGGGCCCAAAAAAGAACAAAAUAAAUAUCAUCUCUGAUGUAGUUAUAAAAGCUGGGGGUAUUUGAAUCCGGAUUUAUAAAUGGUUUAGAAAACCAACAUGACAACGAAGACCAUGAAAUACCUUGCCCUACUAAUGAGCUACACACUAACUAUGAUUCAGGGCCAUGCAGUUCUAAGCAGGGUAGUGUUAACAGUUUAUUCAAUGAUAAGAAAAGAGAUAGUUCUACAUCUCAGGUUAUAACUGGACGAAAAAGGCGUAAUGCGACACAAUUCGAAAAAGCGUAUUUUGAUUUUAAAUUAGAAGAAGAUUUGGGGGAUUUCUCCUCUGGCAGCUCAGACUGUUGGUCACCUAAAGACACUGACAACGAAAGCUUAUCGGGAAAUAAGAAGGCGAAGAAAAGGGUAAAACGAAUAAAUAACGAAAAUGAAAACCAUGUACCAACUAAGAAAAUUAAAUUAAUCAAUAAAACUAAAACACGGAAACUUGCAAAAGAGAAGGGAAUGAAUUAUGAAACAGCAACAGGAAAGAUGAAAGAAGCUAGAAAACUAAAAAUAAAUCCAUGCGUAGAGACCAUUACAUUAAUGAAGGUGAGGGCCGAAGACAAGUAUGUCAACAGUUCCUAAGAAGCACAUUGGAUAUAUCCCAAACUUAUUUGCUUUAUAAUCUAGCAAACUCUAAUGAGGGUAUUUCACAAAAAGAUAAACGAACUCGCCAUGCUGAUCCGAAAUACGACUAAAACACCUACAAUGAUGCCAAAAACUAUAUUGAAGAUCUACCGGUGUUACCAUCACAUUAUAACCGACCUCAAUCAACAAGGCUCUAUAUACCGCAGGACUUUAAAACAGUAACAAACCUGUACCGCCUGUAUGUGAAGUAUUGUGAAGACAAAGCAAUCACACAUCUUAGUGACCGACUUUUCAGGAAUCUUUUUUCUGAGUACAACUUAACCUUCCACGUACCGAAAAAAGACAAAUGCAAGCUGUGCGUUAAAUAUGAAAAUAAUACGAACGUAUUAAAUAAAAAGGAGACCAACGAAUAUCAAAAACAUCUCGAAGAGAAAAAUGCAUCCUACAAACGAGCUGAAGAACAUCGAAAUAUGUUAUGUAUUGAUAAUUCGACGGUGAUGGCUAGUUUCGAUCUACAGAAAGUUCUGAAUACCCUAUAUAGAAAAGACAGUAGAAAAGGCUAAAAAGAGACAAGAAGAAGAAAAAUUUGGAAAAAGAGUGAAAAAAAAUACGAAAAAGUAGAAUAAACUACGUGUUUUCUUAUGUUAGUUUCGUAAAAUAUUAUAAUUGUAUGU